AACUUUAUUCAUGGCGUUUAAAGGCAUUUAAAGUCACAUUGCGAUUUCGUGAUCCUCGUAUCGUGGUUAGGACUCUAUUUUGAGAAUAUGAAGUUGGCGUGUUAUGUUUUGCUCACUUUCGUGCUGAUGCUAAGUUGUCAAGUGGUUUACGUUGAGUGUGCGGUGCCAAAAGGACUCGGAAGGCCUCGAAAUUAUAACCAAACCACUAGUCGGCCAAUUGUGACUAAACCCACUAAGAAAAGUGGUAAAAACCCAACAAAUAGUGGAAAUCCUGAUAAUCUUAUUAGCCCAGGUCGUUGUGUAGAUGGCUAUCUUUCUAUUAAUGGCGAAUGUUAUGCCGAGGAAUAACACUUACAAAACAAACACUACCUAUAUUUAAUAAUUUUUGAGAUUUGACCCCAAAUUGGUAAAGCCGCCAUUUUGACAUUUGUUUAAACUUCGUCUGCGACGCAAAACCAAUCAUAAAUGAUAACCGAUAACCUAUGACUUAUAUCCGCGUAUUGCUAGCGUAUUAAUGCAAAUUUAAUGCUGUGAAAGAAACAAUCGCGAAGUAUGAAUCUUUCAAGUUGUCUUCUGCUCGUCACAGUUGUGUCCAUAUGCAUGUGGACGGAGGCAAAAUUCCGGUUCCAAUGGGCGUGCCAAAAAAUUAUAAAUUUCGCACGAUUGGCACGACCACAACUGCAAAACCCAUCAGCACAACGAAAAAAGAUGACGAUCGACAAAUCGUCAGGGUCAUAUGUAUUGAUGGUUAUGUCGAAGUAAAUGGUGUCUGUGAAUCGACAGAUAAAUGAAAUCACUAUUUAUAUAUUAUAAGUGUUUUUUCCGGUAAUAAAUUCUAAGUACACACCUGUGUUCUAUAUUUUUUUCAUGUUUUGAGUCUUAAAUAGACCGAAUAAUAACGUUAUCAUUUAGUUUUCUAUGAGUAUCUAACGAAAUAACAUCAAAUAGCUAAACAUGUUGAAAUUAAUAUUUAUUUGCUUUUUAUUAUUCUUUGUUUUAUUUUCUCAAGCUCAGUUAGUGAAUAGAACAGUAAACUUUGAACAUUUGCGACUUAUCAACGUACUUUGUGCACCAGGAUAUAAAUUGAUUGCUGGAAGGUGUCGUCGCAUACAUUAAAUUUUUCUUUUUGACGAUGCAGACAAAUCCAUUAGGUUACUAAACAUUACCAGUUUUAGAAUUUUAUAUUUAGGAAUAAUCAUGGUACGCAAAAGUAGUUGUUUUGUUCUUUUGUUAAUAACUUUAACGUUAUUGCAUCAAGCUAAUGCGCAGCCAAUUGAUUUAACUGCUGAACAUCUUCCAGGAGGUACUUACGUUUUUAAUGAUGAUGACCAAAAUAAUAUUGUGCUAUAUCUUGGAAACUCUCAAAAUAAUACCAUAAAGCAAUCAUCUGGAGAUACUUAAAAUACAUAUAAUGAUUUAUAACUUUUACUUAAGCUUUAAUACUUCAUUAGUAAUUUUUUAAUAACAGAAUGUAACAAAGACUUCAAUAAUAUGUUUAUUUUGGAAGAGAA
This is a long non-coding RNA of Dalotia coriaria, 1511 nucleotides long. RefSeq lists it as uncharacterized. The transcript has 7 exons. NCBI's taxonomy places the organism in Eukaryota, Metazoa, Arthropoda, Insecta, Coleoptera, Staphylinidae. The record is from RefSeq and is a predicted model, not a curated record.